This 455-nucleotide ribosomal RNA is filed under the name Nupalirus japonicus. Its description in RNAcentral is "partial 12S ribosomal RNA". It matches the Rfam family "Microsporidia small subunit ribosomal RNA", at positions 652 to 1300 of the family's 1311-position model. Lineage: Eukaryota; Metazoa; Arthropoda; Malacostraca; Decapoda; Palinuridae. The record is from RNAcentral.
AAACUAGGAUUAGAUACCCUAUUAUACCAGGAGGAAAAAUUAAUAUACUUGAGUAAUAAAAAUAAAUUGGUUCAAAAUUCAAAGAAUUUGGCGGUAUUUUAGUCUGGUUGGAGGAACCUGUUUUAUAAACGAUAAACCACGUAAAAUCUUUCUUAUUCUAGUUUAGUUAGUAUACCUUCAUUGUUAGAUAACUUAAGGAUAAAAGUUAUUGGAAUCGGUCUCCUGAGUAUGUUAGAUCACGGUGCUGCUUAUGGAUAAGUAAAAAUGGGUUACAAUAAGAUUUAGUUAUAACGGAGUUAAAAAUUGAAAUAUGUUAAUGAAGGAGGAUUCAAUUGUAAUUGAGGAUUUAAUAAGGUUAGAUGAUAUAAGCUCUAAAAUGUGUACAUAUUGCCCGUCGCUUUCAUCAAAUGUAGGUGAGAUAAGUCGUAACAUAGUAGAUGUACUGGAAAGUGCAU